GCUGGGUGUGGUGGCACACACCUGUAAUCCCAGCUACUUGGAGUCUCAGGCAGGAGGAUCGCAAAUUUGAGGUCAGCUCCAGCAACUUAGCAAGAAGACCCUGUCUCAA
This 109-nucleotide small RNA is filed under the name Marmota monax (woodchuck). The record is from RNAcentral. Lineage: Eukaryota; Metazoa; Chordata; Mammalia; Rodentia; Sciuridae.